AGAAUAAGCUAAAUAUAAGCUUUUGGGCUCAUACCUCAAAUAUAAAGAUAUCCUUUUUCUU
Molecule: transfer RNA, 61 nt
Filed under: Colias eurytheme (orange sulphur)
Lineage: Eukaryota; Metazoa; Arthropoda; Insecta; Lepidoptera; Pieridae
Also listed under: 39 other names
Description: tRNA-Met
Source: RNAcentral